GACGAACGCUGGCGGCGUGCUUAACACAUGCAAGUCGAACGGAAAGGCCCUGCUUGCAGGGUACUCGAGUGGCGAACGGGUGAGUAACACGUGGGUGAUCUGCCCUGCACUUCGGGAUAAGCUUGGGAAACUGGGUCUAAUACCGGAUAGGAGCCAUCUUUAGUGUGGUGGUUGGAAAGUUUUUUCGGUGUAGGAUGAGCUCGCGGCCUAUCAGCUUGUUGGUGGGGUAAUGGCCUACCAAGGCGGCGACGGGUAGCCGGCCUGAGAGGGUGUACGGCCACAUUGGGACUGAGAUACGGCCCAGACUCCUACGGGAGGCAGCAGUGGGGAAUAUUGCACAAUGGGCGCAAGCCUGAUGCAGCGACGCCGUGUGGGGGAUGAAGGCCUUCGGGUUGUAAACUCCUUUCGCUAGGGACGAAGCUUUUUUGUGACGGUACCUAGAUAAGAAGCACCGGCUAACUACGUG
RNAcentral lists this ribosomal RNA (466 nucleotides) under uncultured bacterium. RNAcentral describes it as "partial 16S ribosomal RNA". It matches the Rfam family "Bacterial small subunit ribosomal RNA", at positions 28 to 507 of the family's 1533-position model. The record is from RNAcentral.